RNAcentral lists this ribosomal RNA (253 nucleotides) under uncultured bacterium. RNAcentral's name for it is "partial 16S ribosomal RNA". It matches the Rfam family "Bacterial small subunit ribosomal RNA", at positions 524 to 776 of the family's 1533-position model. The record is from RNAcentral.
UACAGAGGUCUCAAGCGUUGUUCGGAUUCAUUGGGCGUAAAGGGCGCGUAGGCUGCGGGGCAAGUCGGGUGUGAAAUCUCAGAGCUCAACUCUGAAACUGCACUCGAUACUGCUUUGCUUGAGGACUGGAGAGGAGAUUGGAAUUCACGGUGUAGCAGUGAAAUGCGUAGAUAUCGUGAGGAAGACCAGUGGCGAAGGCGGAUCUCUGGACAGUUCCUGACGCUGAGGCGCGAAGGCCAGGGGAGCAGACGGG